UGGGGAAUCUUGCACAAUGGGGGAAACCCUGAUGCAGCGACGCCGCGUGAGCGAUGAAGCCCUUCGGGGUGUAAAGCUCUUUCGGCCGGAACGAUGAUGACGGUACCGGCAGAAGAAGCUGCGGCUAACUACGUGCCAGCAGCCGCGGUAAUACGUAGGCAGCGAGCGUUGUUCGGAGUUACUGGGCGUAAAGAGUGCGUAGGCGGUUGACUAAGUUUGGGUGUGAAAUCUCCCGGCUCAACUGGGAGGGUGCGCCGAAAACUGGUUGGCUGGAGUGUGGGAGAGGUCAGCGGAAUUCCUGGUGUAGCGGUGAAAUGCGUAGAUAUCAGGAGGAACACCUGCGGUGUAGACGGCUGACUGGACCAUGACUGACGCUGAGGCACGAAAGCGUGGGGAGCAAACAGGAUUAGAUACCCUGGUAGUCCACGCCCUAAACGAUGCAUACUUGGUGUGGGUGAUUCAUUUCAUCCGUGCCGGAGCUAACGCGUUAAGUAUGCCGCC
RNAcentral lists this ribosomal RNA (501 nucleotides) under uncultured bacterium. RNAcentral describes it as "bacterial SSU rRNA". It matches the Rfam family "Bacterial small subunit ribosomal RNA", at positions 355 to 873 of the family's 1533-position model. The record is from RNAcentral.